RNAcentral lists this ribosomal RNA (496 nucleotides) under uncultured bacterium. RNAcentral describes it as "partial 16S ribosomal RNA". It matches the Rfam family "Bacterial small subunit ribosomal RNA", at positions 29 to 507 of the family's 1533-position model. The record is from RNAcentral.
AUGAGCGCUGGCGGCGUGCCUAAUACAUGCAAGUCGAGCGAACGGACGAGAAGCUUGCUUCUCUGAUGUUAGCGGCGGACGGGUGAGUAACACGUGGAUAACCUACCUAUAAGACUGGGAUAACUUCGGGAAACCGGAGCUAAUACCGGAUGAUAUUUUGAACCGCAUGGUUCAAAAGUGAAAGACGGUCUUGCUGUCACUUAUAGAUGGAUCCGCGCUGCAUUAGCUAGUUGGUAAGGUAACGGCUUACCAAGGCAACGAUGCAUAGCCGACCUGAGAGGGUGAUCGGCCACACUGGAACUGAGACACGGUCCAGACUCCUACGGGAGGCAGCAGUAGGGAAUCUUCCGCAAUGGGCGAAAGCCUGACGGAGCAACGCCGCGUGAGUGAUGAAGGUCUUCGGAUCGUAAAACUCUGUUAUUAGGGAAGAACAUAUGUGUAAGUAACUGUGCACAUCUUGACGGUACCUAAUCAGAAAGCCACGGCUAACUACGUG